RNAcentral lists this ribosomal RNA (450 nucleotides) under uncultured bacterium. RNAcentral's name for it is "partial 16S ribosomal RNA". It matches the Rfam family "Bacterial small subunit ribosomal RNA", at positions 354 to 796 of the family's 1533-position model. The record is from RNAcentral.
GUGGGGAAUAUUGGACAAUGGGCGAAAGCCUGAUCCAGCCAUGCCGCGUGUGUGAAGAAGGUCUUCGGAUUGUAAAGCACUUUAAGUUGGGAGGAAGGGCAGUAAGUUAAUACCUUGCUGUUUUGACGUUACCGACAGAAUAAGCACCGGCUAACUUCGUGCCAGCAGCCGCGGUAAUACGAAGGGUGCAAGCGUUAAUCGGAAUUACUGGGCGUAAAGCGCGCGUAGGUGGUUUUGUAAGUUGGAGGUGAAAUCCCCGGGCUCAACCUGGGAACUGCCUCCAAAACUGCAUGACUAGAGUACGGUAGAGGGUAGUGGAAUUUCCUGUGUAGCGGUGAAAUGCGUAGAUAUAGGAAGGAACACCAGUAGCGAAGGCGACUACCUGGACUGAUACUGACACUGGGGUGCGAAAGCGUGGGGAGCAAACAGGAUUAGAAACCCCGGUAGUCC